CUUCACCCCUGGCAAGUCACUGUCGUCUUGUUCCUCUCCCGGCCUCGGGACACAUCAGUCAGGACAGAGGCAGAGCAAUCAGCUCCACGUUGCCGGCCAACUGCAAGGGGCGGGGGCAAAAGAAAUGUUUAAUUUAUCACUGGUUCCAAGAACUGAGAAAAAAGUAAUAAUAAUUCUGUCUUGAGCACCAAGAGCAUGUUAUUUACAGCCGCAAAACUUUCACAACAAUUUGAAUGCAAAACAGGGUGCGUCGUAUUCAUAGCCGUUUGUCCCAAUUGGAAAGGAAGGCAUUUGAGAGCAAAAUAGCACUUUGCUGCAAACUGCUCGCUAAGAAAAUGGCAAGACAGUCUGUGUUCUGAGGGAGGCUGGGAGCUGGAAAUGGGCAGGUACCUGAGAAAAACAGAACAAAAGCAGGUGCAGAAGGCGGUCAAUGGCAGCCUGUGCCAAGCAGAGCAGGGUGGCUUUCUUUUUAUUUAAAAUAACAUUUUUAUUGAUUCCUGAAUUCCUGCCCAGUCGAGACUGGGGAGGCAGGAAGCCACAUGGACGAGGUGCCUGGGGAGAAAGCCCACGGUCUCCCAGAGCACGCCCUCCCGAGGCUGCUUCCAUUCUGCACCGCGUGGCGGGGGCGGUGGACACAGCCGACUCAGUUUCCCUUGCUCUUACAGCGAGCACCAGCCCUUCUCUCCCAGGAGCUGAGAUGAUUCAUGAACGACCGAGGAGAGAUUUGAAGAUGAAAAAUGUCCUUGCCGUCUUGGGGAUUAAUCAUCGCAUAACGCAUGCUCCCUCUCUGCGUGCCGACUUAAUUACCUGCCGUCGACAAAACGAUUCUCCUCCCGCUCCUCUCCGGAGAAACGCUCCCGUUUGGAGCCCGCGGUACAGAUUCUCGGCAAAGAAUCAAAGCUCUCUUUGCAGCAGCGGAAAGGCUCGGGAGUGUUUGUAUAGAAUGAGAGAGAACAAAAGCAGCCUCUGCUGGAGAGGGGCCUCCCAGAACUGGCACGGGGCUGCCACAAGGACGGAUGAACUACAAGCGACGGCAAUGGGCUUCUGCGCAGACGGCCCUACAGGAAGCUCUGAGAUAGCACCCCCUGCGGUCCCCUGCCCACCACCACCCCAUUUUGCUUUUCUUCAAAUUGAUCUCCACCUGACACAGUGCAUGCCAAUGCUGGUCUCCUUCUCCCCCACCCAGGGGGAGGUGGGGAACCUCCUGAGAGAGAACCCGCUGUUGUGUUCAAGGCUGUGUUUCUGGGGCACAUGAGGCCCGGGCUGGGUGCUCAGUGAAGCUCUGAUGAGUGGAUGCAAGGCUUUCCAGGAAAGAAGGUGAAGGCACGAGGAUGGCUUAGGAGGAACGGGAGGGGACCAGCAGAGGAGCCCAAGGACAGGAGGUUACAGAGCGCCCUGGCAGCCUGGGAUGGGGGUGCCAUCCUCUUCGUAAGCUGCACAGCUGCCUCAACCCCUGAGCAGGCACACAGCAGGCACGGGUAGGGGUCCUUUCUCCUGGCACAGACAGCCCCACAGCCCAUGGGGCGGCAGAGCCUCCACCCCGGACACUCCUGCUCCCGGAUGCAGAGCAAGAGGUGGCUGUGGCCUUCAGGGAUGUCACGCAGAGGCUGACGGGAGCACGGUUCACUGAGAGAGAGAAGCCAGCAGGCCUCAGCCAUGGAAGCCGGUGCCCGAUUGGUGCCCAGCUGUGAUUAGAGAGUCCUAUUUCAAUGUGGGCCCCUCAGGCCCAUGUCCAGAGGCCUCUGUCCCAUGGAGAACUGUGCUCGGCACACCGUUUCUGACCCUCUUGAAGGAUUAUCUGCUAGUCUGGGGGCCUGGGUGCCAUGUUCUGCAUAGACAGCCAUGACUGGGAUGGAACCUGGACCAGCCCCCGGAGCAGCUGAGUGUCUACCCAUCGGUUCAAACAGAAGGACCCCGGAUGUCUGCCUUGGACAGCCAGCCCAGCUCUUUGUGGGCUGAUGGGAGCUCCCCUUUCCAGGGCUCUGGGCCUGUCUCCAGAGCUGGAAGCGCUGAGGACUCCCAGCCCUGGCCAUGAGAAAUGACAAAGCCCACACCUGCCCACCCUGUUUAUGUCCACCCUCCUGUGGUGGAUGCCCUUGUCUCGUCUCUGUGAUACCGUGGGCUUCCCUUGGCAGAGGCUUCGUCACAAAACUCUGACUGAUGUUUACUCAUCUCUCUCCCCAGCAAGCCCCGGGGAGCAUCUCACAGGCGGCCACCCCGCCAGAGCCACCCACCUCUCCUAGUGCUGGGUCACUGCACGCACGCAGGGCUGAGUCCUCCACUCCCCCCAUCUGCCUUUGGAGCCAGAAAAUCACUCACUGGCAUUCAUCAAGUCCCCGAUUCAGUUUUAGGGCUGGAAGGACCUCCUGAGGCCUGCCUGUGUUCAUUCACUGGUCCGUUCAUCAUUCAUUCAGUAGUGGUUCCAGGUACAUUGCUCAAGAAAGAGAUGUGAUCCCUGAGUCCCUGGCCUCAGUGCGCUGAGAGACAAGUGAAGUGGUCCCAGGGCCACGGUGGGAUGCAGAAGGUGCAGUGUGUCCUGCCAGUGGGGAGACGGGAGAGUUAUGACUGUCCGGUGCAGACAAGACGGAAGGACGAAUGGCCAUUAUCAGGUAAAUACAAGUGCCCAGGGCAGAGACUCUGGCCCUGGGAGGCCUGGGGGUGGGAGGGUGAGUGCCCAGGCGAGGGCCAUGCCUGGCACUCACACGAUGAGUCGGGCAGGGAACGCAGCUGGACCCAGAGGGCCUGGAGGCUGUGAGGAGGGCGAUCUGCCUCUUUCUGUAACAGGACAGCCCAGGAGGGUCUGUGCUUAGGGGUGCCACAUGCCCCUUAUGCUCCGUCUCACAGCUGGGCCCAGUGGCGCAGGACUGCCCGGGAUAGAGAGGCGUGCGGUGACCUUCCAGGCUGCAUGCAGCAGCAGAGGGGUGGGGGUGGCUGGGCCUGGGCAGUGGCAGCAGGGGAAAGGGACGUGGACGGAGGUGAAAUGGACAGGUCUGUGGAUUGUGGGGAAGCCUGGAUGUGGGGUGGGGGGGCGUCAUGGUCUUCCCUGCCCCUGCAGAUGAGGUAGCAGGCUCUUGGGGCAGCUGGGAGAGGCAGAAUUGGGCUGCUCUGCUGAGGGCUUCUGCACAGAGUUCCAAAUUCCAGGAGCUUCUAGGGGCUGGGACCUGCCUGCAUAGUGAGGUGGAUGAGUCCAGGCCUGCGGCACGUGGCCUCUGCCAUCGGCUUUGCUCUCAGUGCAGAGCCGGCCUCGUCCUCAUUGUGUAGCUCAGGAUUUGGAGGCCCAGAGAGGCAAGGCCAGCACCCGCACGGGCCAGCUGCAUAACCCAGGUCCAAUUUCAGGUCCCAGAGCCAGGCUCCAUGGUGACCCACUGCCAGGGAUGACGGGCAGACUGCCACUCCCAACAGAGCCUCAGCUUUGUCACCUGUAGGGCAGGAGAGCAGCAAGACCUGCUUGGAAGUUGAGCGUCCCCAUGCCCAGCAGGCAUCCCGCCCUCCUCCGCCUCUUCACAAAGGCCAGUCAUCCCGUGCUUCCGACACCAGGGCCAGGAGGAGCAGUGUCCCCCUCUCUGGGCCCGUAGGCCUUUGACAGGUGGAGACACCUGUCCCUGCUGGGCCCCAGGUUUGUAUCUGCAGCCACAGAACAGAGCAGGGAAGAGCCAAACUGACCCGCCAGGAACCUCAGCUCUUCCCUGUCUGGGUCCUGCCCUGACCAUAUCCGUCACUGUCAACACCAGGAGGAGAGCAUGCGGCGGCCCAUGCUUCCUGACAGCAGCCUUCCCUAAAGAGCCAGGCCCACCCCACGGACCCCAACCUGGGGUCUCUCAAAGGCUCUGGGCACUGCCUUGGCUGAAGCCAGUCCUGAGCUCCAACUUAGGGACAGAACCAGCCACCUUGGUAGAUAGGGCUUGGCAAUCUCCCAGAUUCCCGAACACACCCCAUAGGCCCCUUCCAGCCUCAGGUUUGGAGAGGCAGAGGGGGAAAGGUCCCAGCUAAGCCAGCCAGGGGCAGGGAGAAGGUGCGCUGGUCUGGUCAGUUACCUCCCUGACUUCCUCAUCCAUGCGGCAGCUGAAGCCUGUGACAGGAAGAGGCAAAACCAAAACCAAACCUGUCCCUAAAGGUUAAGCUUAUCGGUCCUUACGUGAGAGUGUGAAGUGUUUUAAUUGGGUAAACUGAUGCAUCCUGUUAGCUGAGCUAAACCAGACAGAGCUGAUUGGAGGAGGCAGGGCUGAUUUCAAAGAUGAACCUCCAGCCAAGAGUGCCCGUGAAGACGCUCGGGCUUCCUCCUGCAAAGCUGCAGGUCCUCAUGUGCCCGAUGCUCUCCCGCUAGUGGUUAGCUCUGCAACCGCCUCCAGGUUGCCUCAGUUUCCCCAAAUGUAAAAUGUACAGUGAAGUCCCCCCUCCCCUCCUGCACCAUCCCAGGUGGCUCUUACUGAAGGUCGGCCACUCUGGUUAGGUCACGUGCACAUCCUUUACAUGGAAAAUGAUUGAAAUCUGCACCUGGACAGUGCUAUCAGCUGUGGGCCGCCAGCUCUGCAGGGACCCGAGGCCCCAGUGCAGGCUCAGAACGAGGCAGAAACAGCCCCAUGCACCGCUCCAGGCAUCCACAUUCUCAGGGACCAAUCACCCUCCUCCGUGCCUGUCUGGGCCACCAUGGGAGCGAUUCGGGGCUGCUCAGGCCUUGGUCCUCUCGUCCUAAGGGAAGAAAGCUGAAAAUACCUAGAUGUCUAGAUGGCCCUGGAUCCACGACAGUCUCUGUCCGGAGCACAGGAGCUGUGCAUGACCACGCCACCGAUUUCCUCUUGAGAGACUUCUAGCGGUGGGGGGGCUGUGGUAGCAAAUACAGAGUGUGUAUGAUCCCAACAUUAACCACGCAACUCCUAGCCUGCAACACUUAAAAGAGGAACCUGCCACCCUCCACGAGGCUGGAGAAGCAGCGGGAGUUUCCAAAAGGCAGCUUUGGUUUAAACCACAAGAUAAUGGAGGGAUCUGCAUUUUGCUGAAGAAACCGCAAGCUACCCUCUGACAUUGUUUCACUUCUUUUUUGUUGUUCCUUUUUGAACAUCUCUUAUUGAAGCAAUUUCUGGGCAAAUCACACAAAUAAAGCGCUUGAGAAACAGGUUAUAGCCCA
RNAcentral lists this long non-coding RNA (5125 nucleotides) under Piliocolobus tephrosceles (Ugandan red Colobus). RNAcentral describes it as "lncRNA (ENSPTEG00000021442.1)". The record is from RNAcentral. Lineage: Eukaryota; Metazoa; Chordata; Mammalia; Primates; Cercopithecidae.